ACAAAAAAUACUUAUUUACAAACAAAAAGAAAGAAGGUUAGCAUUGCAAUGCAAAUUCAUCUGUGGCCUGUGGGACUAAAUCCUAGUUUAACCAAAAGACAAGAAAAAUUUGUUAAUAUGCAAGUAUAUUUAGUCAUAAAUGUACAAGCACAUAUCUGUGUAAAUAUAGAUAAAGAAAAUGCUUAAUAUCGCAUUAUUAUGUUUAUUCACCAACUAGUUCCACAUUCACACUUUGUCAAAUCAUCCAUUUCCACAAGUCAAUAUUGAAUAGUUUUCUACCCUUUGCUUUUCCAAUUAACUGAUAAUUGAUAGGUACUUAGCAAACAUCAUAGUCAUAUCUUGAGUUUAGCUGGAAUGAUUUAAAUGGCCUCCAAUCUAUCACCGACACCAUGCAUGUAAAAUACCGUAACACAAUAAUAAUAAUAAUAAUAAUAAUAAUAAUAAUAAUAAGGUUUAAUGGACGAAUAACUUUAACGAAAUUUUUAGAAAUUUUUAGGAAUUUUCUGGGAAUUUUUUGAAGCUUGUAUGACGUAUUUUACGGGGAUGAGUUUAUUGGGCUUGGAGGAAGCCUAUUUGGAGUACCCACUUAAGUGGGAGUUGAUUAAGGAAUAAACUUAAGGUUUAAUUAAUUAAACCCUAAGUAUAAAUGUGAACUACUGUGCCCUAAUCUCCGCCGAAACCUUUUCUUCCGAUCUCCUCCUCCCCUCUCCUCUUCACACUGCCACCGCCGCAUACUCCCGAUUCCUCUCUUCACCGUGCCCUAGCCACUUCUCUUCCUCUUCUCCUGAAUCCCUCUCCUUUUCCUCUUCACCGCCGACCCUCCUCUCCCAUCUCCCGAUCUCGCUGCACCGCCCGAUCGUGGGUCGUCGCCGCCCGAUCCGUCGACGCCUUCCCUCUCAUGAGCAUCCAUCAUAAUUCCGACGUUAGAUGGCACGCACAGCCUGAGCCUUAUUCCGAUCCACUGUCGCUCUCUCCCUCUCGUCUCCGAUUGUCAAAGCUGGUCGCCAUCUUCCCAUUCCUGGCUGUGGACACCAAGCACUCGUCGUGAGCCAAGCAUCCGACCCUAACGUGGUUGCCGCGUCGGCUCAGAUCCACCGUCUCCGUGCCCUAGCUCCCGAUCCACUCACGGUGUCGAGCCUAACCAGGCAGCGUCGUCAUUCUCCUCUGCCCGGUUCACCACCACAGCAAUAUUUGGGUUUCCGUUAGAGAGGAAGCUACAGAUCUAGAUUGAGUUGGUCAGAAGGUCUGCCGACAGUCCAGGAAACAGAACAAAGACCAUGGUCACCAUUGCGGCAGUAGACUCUGAUUAUCGCUGAUUAUCUCCAGUUAUGAGCCACCAGCAAACCUCAUUGGAUUGUGGACUUUAAUUUGAGACAAGGGUCUCGACGUGGAAUUGUUAGCACAAUCGACAAAUAAAGGCAGGUUGAAGCCGUCAAGAGGUUCCAGUUGCUAGUCCCCACUCUGUGUCGAUAUGGUUUUCUAUUUCCGAACUUUGGUUCCUUGUUAUGUGAACUAGACUUGUGAUGUGAAGUUCUUGCACUCGUGUAUUCUAUAUCGAGAUUUUGGUA
Molecule: long non-coding RNA, 1568 nt
Organism: Zingiber officinale
Lineage: Eukaryota; Viridiplantae; Streptophyta; Magnoliopsida; Zingiberales; Zingiberaceae
Exons: 4
Source: RefSeq, a predicted model, not a curated record